Molecule: ribosomal RNA, 497 nt
Filed under: uncultured bacterium
Lineage: Bacteria
Description: partial 16S ribosomal RNA
Rfam family: Bacterial small subunit ribosomal RNA
Source: RNAcentral
GAUGAACGCUGGCGGCGUGCCUAAUACAUGCAAGUCGAGCGAACGGACGAGAAGCUUGCUUCUCUGAUGUUAGCGGCGGACGGGUGAGUAACACGUGGAUAACCUACCUAUAAGACUGGGAUAACUUCGGGAAACCGGAGCUAAUACCGGAUGAUAUUUUGAACCGCAUGGUUCAAAAGUGAAAGACGGUCUUGCUGUCACUUAUAGAUGGAUCCGCGCUGCAUUAGCUAGUUGGUAAGGUAACGGCUUACCAAGGCAACGAUGCAUAGCCGACCUGAGAGGGUGAUCGGCCACACUGGAACUGAGACACGGUCCAGACUCCUACGGGAGGCAGCAGUAGGGAAGCUUCCGCAAUGGGCGGAAGCAUUACGGAGCAACGCCGCGUGAGUUAUGAAGGUCUUCGGAUCGUAAAACUCUGUUAUUAGGGAAGAACAUAUGUGUAAGUAACUGUGCACAUCUUGACGGUACCUAAUCAGAAAGCCACGGCUAACUACGUG